This 455-nucleotide ribosomal RNA is filed under the name uncultured bacterium. RNAcentral's name for it is "bacterial SSU rRNA". It matches the Rfam family "Bacterial small subunit ribosomal RNA", at positions 8 to 507 of the family's 1533-position model. The record is from RNAcentral.
AGAGUUUGAUCAUGGCUCAGAACGAACGCUGGCGGCAUGCCUAACACAUGCAAGUCGAACGAGACCUUCGGGUCUAGAGGCGGCACGGGUGCGUAACGCGUGGGAAGUCUGCCCUUGGGUUCGGAAUAACAGCGAGAAAUUGCUGCUAAUACCGGAUGAUGACGUAAGUCCAAAGAUUUAUCGCCCAAGGAUGAGCCCGCGUAGGAUUAGCUAGUUGGUGAGGUAAAGGCUCACCAAGGCGACGAUCCUUAGCUGGUCUGAGAGGAUGAUCAGCCACACUGGGACUGAGACACGGCCCAGACUCCUACGGGAGGCAGCAGUGGGGAAUAUUGGACAAUGGGCGAAAGCCUGAUCCAGCAAUGCCGCGUGAGUGAUGAAGGCCUUAGGGUUGUAAAGCUCUUUUACCCGGGAUGAUAAUGACAGUACCGGGAGAAUAAGCUCCGGCUAACUCCGUG